CGAGGACUAGAGGUUCAGGCAAAGCCUGGGCAGUGGCUCGCACCUUUGUUCCUUGUAUCUGGGGCUCAGAGCACUGGGUAAAACCAGGAGGAGCGCUCCCAGCACAGCACAAGUGCACAGAUGAUUGCUGUCUGCUGAGAGGCAGGCACUGCGGGUCUGACCACAUCCCCCCCAGCUCAGGUCCCCAGGAGUCCAGAGGAAGGAGCAUACUUACAGAGUAAAAUAAAUUAGCUGAAAGAUUGUGAUCCCUCUGACUAUUCCCUCGCCCACCUGGGAUCUUCAGGGGUGGGUGAGGGACAUCAGGAGCACCACCGAGGCCCUGGACCCAGGUUACUACAGCAGUUGAUGGAGACCCUGGAACUGGAGGAGACAGCAGGUGAGCAGCACUGGGAGGAGACCCCGCGGCCUUUGCCAACAGGGCCUGGGGUCCCAAUAUGGACAAACUGAAGGUCAAGGCCUUCCAGAGCUCAAGUCCACCAGGGACCCUGCCUCCCUUUUCCAAGGGCGAUGUUCACACUGAGCGCAAAAAUCAACAUCGGGCGGCGGGGCAGCUAAACAAUCACAGAAACAAGUGGCCAUUCAAACCAGACGCCUCGGGUGAUACGCUGCUUAAAGACCCACCCGUCCCCGGGGGCGGGGGCGCUUUUGCCCUUUACCCAUCUCAUGACUGGCACUAAGUGCCGCCCCACCCAAUUCUGCGUCAAGUUCUACUUCCCAUUUCUAAGCCCAGCGCUCCAGCUUCCCCUUUCCCACUGUGCGGUCUGCAGCCGACCUGAAGCUCCAGCAGGCUUUCCUUAGGGAUCUGACCAGUCCGUCCGCAGACACUGUCCCUGCGGCGGUCCCUUCGCUCGCCCAGAGACGUGCGGCCCGAUCAGCGCCCCCGCCGGUGCUGCGAGGCCCGGCCCGCGGAGACGCCCUCCCGGGUUGCGUCAUCUCGGCAAAGGGCCCUCGGCCCCGGGGGAGAUUUUCACAAUCGCGCAGCCGGCAAUGCCAGCAGCCAUUUGCUGAGCAUUGUAAACAAGCCCCAAAGUCGCCUCCAUUUUCCUCGGCUCCCAUCCGGGGUCCCCUUCAUCAAAGAGCUCGCGCUCCGCGCCAAGCGCGGACCCCCUGGACCCCCGUCCCUGGCUACGACCACUCCUGGCACAGCAGUCCUCCGCGGAAAGGGCGAUCCGGCAUUCACCCCGAUAAGGGCCCCGGGCGCCGUCUACGUGGCGCUGUCCGACUCCGCGCGUCCUCGGGGCUAUAAAGAGAUCGCCAGGGCGGCCGCCGUCCCGUGGGAAAGGCUACUCCGCCGGGCUC
Molecule: long non-coding RNA, 1299 nt
Filed under: Ovis aries (sheep)
Lineage: Eukaryota; Metazoa; Chordata; Mammalia; Artiodactyla; Bovidae
Description: lncRNA (ENSOARG00000025297.1)
Source: RNAcentral